RNAcentral lists this ribosomal RNA (943 nucleotides) under uncultured archaeon. Its description in RNAcentral is "bacterial SSU rRNA". It matches the Rfam family "Archaeal small subunit ribosomal RNA", at positions 1 to 924 of the family's 1478-position model. The record is from RNAcentral.
UCCGGUUGAUCCCGCCGGACCCCACUGCUAUCGAGGUGGGACUAAGCCAUGCCAGUCGAACGACCCGGACUAUGGCGGGGAGUGGCAGACUGCUCAGUAACACGUAGCUAACCUACCCUCGGGACGGGGAUAACCCCGGGAAACUGGGGCUAAUACCCGAUAGGUAUGGAUUCCUGGAAUGGUGCCAUGCUUAAACGUAAGCACAUCCAUGUUUGUGUGCACGCCCGAGGAUGGGGCUGCGGCCGAUCAGGCAGUUGGUGAGGUAACGGCUCACCAAACCUUUGACCGGUACGGGCCAUGAGAGUGGUAGCCCGGAGAUGGGCACUGAGACAAGGGCCCAGGCCCUACGGGGCGCAGCAGGCGCGAAACCUCCACAAUUCACGCAAGUGAGAUGGGGUUACCUCGAGUGCUAUCUGAAGAAGGUGGCUUUUCCAUGGUGUAAUGAGCCGUGGGAAUAAGGGGGGGGCAAGACUGGUGUCAGCCGCCGCGGUAACACCAGCCCCCCGAGUGGUGGGGAUGAUUAUUUGGCCUAAAGCGUCCGUAGCCAGCUCGGUAAAUCUCUCGUUAAAUCCAGCGUCCUAAGCGUUGGGCUGCGAGGGAAACUGCCGAACUAGAGGGUGGGAGAGGUCAGCGGUAUUCCUGGGGUAGGGGCGAAAUCCAUUGAUCCCAGGAGGACCACCAGUGGCGAAGGCUGCUGACUAGAACACGCCUGACGGUGAGGGACGAAAGCUGGGGUAGCGAAUCGGAUUAGAUACCCGAGUAGUCCCAGCCGUAAACGAUGCAGGCUAGGUGUUGGGUCGGCCAUGCGCCGCCUCAGUGCCACAGGGAAGCCAUUAAGCCUGCCGCCUGGGGAGUACGGCCGCAAGGCUGAAACAUAAAGGAAUUGGCGGGGGAGCACCACCAGGCGUGAAGCCUGCGGUUUAAUUGGAGUCAACGCCGGAAA